RNAcentral lists this ribosomal RNA (253 nucleotides) under uncultured bacterium. RNAcentral describes it as "partial 16S ribosomal RNA". It matches the Rfam family "Bacterial small subunit ribosomal RNA", at positions 524 to 776 of the family's 1533-position model. The record is from RNAcentral.
UACGGGGGAGCAAGCGUUGCUCGGAUUUACUGGGCGUAAGGGCGCGUAGGCGGUCAGCACAAGUCAGUUGUGAAAUCUCCGGGCUUAACUCGGAAAGGUCAACUGAUACUGUGCGACUAGAGUGCGGAAGGGGCAACUGGAAUUCUCGGUGUAGCGGUGAAAUGCGUAGAUAUCGAGAGGAACACCUGCGGCGAAGGCGGGUUGCUGGGCCGACACUGACGCUGAUGCGCGAAAGCCAGGGGGAGCGAACGGG